This is a non-coding RNA of Punica granatum (pomegranate), 1280 nucleotides long. Lineage: Eukaryota; Viridiplantae; Streptophyta; Magnoliopsida; Myrtales; Lythraceae. The record is from RefSeq and is a predicted model, not a curated record.
UUCUCUGUUUAGCCGAAAAAGAAGAAACACACCGAGGGAGGGAGGGCGGUCUUGAGAGAAUGAGAAAGAGCGAGAGAGAGGUGGAGAGCUCGAGAUGAAGGUCGAGGGAAGUUUAGCUUGAAAUGGAUUUUGGAAAAUGGUAGAGAUGGAGAGUGAGCGAGCAAUAGCCAGAGCCCGAGCUUGAGCUCGAUGAAGAGAUAGAGAAAUGAAAGAACCAAGGAUGGGAAAGUAGCAAGUCGGGGGUGGAUAAACCGAAUAGAGAGAGGAACGAGGUAGAGAAAAUUGAGGGUAGAUUGAGGUAGGGAAAUUGGAGAACACCUUGAGGAAGAUCUUGACAUGGUGAUCCUUUAUUGAUGGGUUUUGGAGAGAAUACUGAUGGGAAGUAAAGAGUAUGGAAUGGGGAUAGAACGACUAGAGGAAGCUGAUUGUAUUAAGCUUCUAAGCUUAUGACUUAUACUCUACCUUGUUGUUUGCUCAAAGCAAAUGGGCUGGCUUGAUUCAAUAUCUCGACGAUCAAGCUUGGAUCGCGCUUGAGCUGAGGAUUAAUAUUCCAGUCAAGGUGAGCCAACCUCGAGCUAAUUAAGAGCAUAGCACGAGGGGCUCAGGAGAGUAAUCAAGAUUCGCUUGCUUAGUUAUUGACUUCAAAUUAUGGACAUAUUAUAAGACAAAAAUUGCCCGUUAUCUCAGUUAAUCUGGUGAUCGUUUUGACCAAAAAAGAUCAUAAAGCAGGUGCAACAGAGACGCAGUUCUGUUUUGCGGGGAAAGAAUGAAACUUUAGCACGGGGUGCCAAAGUCAAAACGGGUUGAAAUAGUCCCAAAGAAAGGAGUGUAUGGUACUUGAAGGCCCAAAGAAAUAGUCCUUGGAGCAGGAGAAAAUUGCUAAAGUUAUAAGAGAACCGACAAGGCCUUUGGUCAGCUACUGAGUUGGUCAUGGAAAGAGCGUAUCUUUCUCGCAUGACAAUUGGAGCAAUAAGGGUCCUAUUGCUGAUAUUUGUGUUUGAUCGUGGUCUGCAUUUUUUUCCAUCUAUCCAACUAAAAGCAUAAACUUAGUAUGCGCGAUAUAUAUGGAGUUUUGGGAUUUGUAAUUCUGUAAAUAUCGGUUUCGUUAUUCUCUUGUACACUUUCCAGAAUACAUUAGUCCUGGUUUAGGAGUACAGCUCCAGCUUAAGGAUACUAGACAGGAACCUAUUAUAGAGAUUCACAUCUUGUACUGUAUAUCUAUGUUCUUGUCUUAAAAUGAAUGAAUGAAAUUCUCCAGCAGACUUAUUGGUCUGGACCAA